Molecule: long non-coding RNA, 2933 nt
Organism: Asparagus officinalis (garden asparagus)
Lineage: Eukaryota; Viridiplantae; Streptophyta; Magnoliopsida; Asparagales; Asparagaceae
Exons: 5
Source: RefSeq, a predicted model, not a curated record
AAUUAGUAAAGAGACCAGUUAACCGUCAUUAAUGUGCAUAUAAUAACGACGGGUUUUAAAACCUUCGUCGAGUGAUUACAAAUAUUAGAAAAAUAAUAUGAGAUGGAAUAACGGAUUUCUAAUCCCUUCAUUGAUUUGAUUCUAAUACGUUAUUUGGUCUCCUUAAAAGAUCGAAGGGUCCACAUCAGUAAAAAUUCGAGUACCGCGGGCUUCAAUUUUUCAAGUUCCGCAGCCCCAAAUAUUUCUCCCCUUAUUUAUCAAAAUCUCUCUCAAAAUUUUCAUCCCUCUUCUCUCUAAAACUUCCAAACCUUGAGCUUACCUGCUCCCUGUCGCCGGCCGCAUCCCCCCUUCAUCGACGGCGUCUACGUCCUCAUCAUCAUCAUCAUCAUCAUCAUCAUCAAUGUCCACCGCCAUCUCCGGCUCUUCAAACCCUAACUCCUCAUCGACACUGACUGUCAACCCUCUUCCUCACUGACCGCCGACUAAUGGUUCGACUUGAAGGAAGAUCAUGAUCAAUCGUCUCCAUUUUGAUCAAAGGAGGAGGAGAUUAGGAUCAAUUGCUUAAGGUUUAACAGAUUUAUCCAUAUCAAGGUAUUUUUCUUGCACACCAGGUGUUUGAUUUUGUUUGUUAUUUCUCUUAGGUUUUGAUUUUUGAUGCAAGUCAUUCUUUUGUUGUUUUGGUGAUGAUUUUUGUGGAAAUUGUAGUUAUUUGAGGAUUCCUUUGAAUGUGAUUCCAUCAAAAGCUCUCCAUCAUGCAGAUCCCACCGCCAAACGGCACAAGGUCAACAACCCUUGAGGUACUAUUUUGAUGUAGCUUUUUAUUUAAUUCUUGACUGGGUAUGAAUUUAUAGCAUUCAUCCUAGUAAAGGAGAAAACCUACACAAUUUUUUUUUUUAAAUUUUCCUGACUAAUUUAUAUUUCGUAUUAAAUUGUCUCAAAGUUGAGGGAUUGCACAGGUCUUGUAUUAUUUUGGUUGAUGAAUAUGAUGAAAUUGUUACUUUAGAUAAGUUGACUUUCUCUGAAUUUUCAUUUCACCCAAUUAAAAAAAUGCGGGGACAUUGAAUUCUUUAUUGUGACAAACACCAAUUUCAAGUUCUUAUUAGCAAGAUUUGGUUGUAAGAAUUUUUAUCAGUUGGUGGAAAGAGAGGGAACUUUGGUGAGAAUUAGAAGUGAAAAUAGACAAUAUCUCAUCAUUUGAAAAAAGACAUUUUGGGUGAGUAUGGACAAUUUUUCAUCUUCUAGUUUCUUUUUAGUUAUAUUAUAUGUCUUUUGAUUUCAUGGUGCCUUUGGUUAAUCUGGAUUAUUGCUUGUCGAUUAUCUACUUUUCGCUACUCAAACUAUUCUAUUUUUUGUUAGUCGAUUGCUUUAAGCUGAAUAUAGAAACAUCAUUAACUGCAUUGUAGUUCUGGAAAUUUGUUUAAGUUAAUUGUUAUAUAUAAGAUUUAUUUUGAAAAUAAACUCGUCAUAUGAUAUCCUUAAAUCUGUAAUUAAAACAUUAAGAUAAUUGAAUGGCGAGAUUUUUAAAACCAUGCGAUGUAGCGUGUUUGUAGGAAGCAAAUGAGCAUUAACUUCUGAUGUAGCUCCAAGUUUUUUGUAAUUUUGACUUGCUUAAUUGCACUAUAAACAGUUUUUGAAUAUAGGUACCCUGUACUGAAUUCAGUCAUAAAUGCAUUUCAGAAGUAGGACUACGACCUACACAUGUUAAGGAUACAUGAAAGAGCCAAUCGAUAGUUGUAUGUAUAAAAUCCUACAAAUUGAACGCUACUUCACACCUUACAUGUUUUUUCCCCUCUUCUACUAGCCGUUAGCACACAUUUUCUCGUUAUGUUUUUUCUUUUUACCUAUGAAAUUGAUUUGGGAUCCUAUGUAAAAAAUAGCAUCACAUAGUUUUAAAUACAACAAGAUCUGAUUACUCCUUUUGUUGAAUUUGAACUUGCUUCACUUGAGAUAAUAUUUUUAUCUCUUAACUAUUUCCCAGGUUCUGAAAUUCCUAUUGCUUGUGCCUUGUAAUUGAACUCUUCAUAUUGCAAUAUCAGGGGACGCAUAUAAUUGGUUUCUUGUUUGCACCUAUUAUUAUAGUGUGGCUCUUAUCAUCAGCGGAGUUGGUGCGUACAACAUUUUGCUCUGGCAUCACCAUGUUGUUGUAGUUCUUUCCCCUUACUACAUGUUUAAGUUUAUGACAUUGCAAAUUAGAGCUCACUAGGUGGUGUGGUUUUAUGCAUUGCAGGUUAUUUUUAUAGCUCAGAAUACCCAAUGAUUUGAUUUAACAUAUAGGAAGUUAUUUAAGGUUUAGUUUGCAGUGCUUGAGGCAACGUUUGUGGACCCAUGUCACUUCUCAAAGAGAUCAAUCAAGGUAUGAUCCACUUGAUUCACAAAGUGCUUGAAGGUUUUUUUUCAUUUGUAUCUCAACAAAACAGAUACAUAGGGAAACUUGUUGUAUCGUAUAUUAAGCUUUCGGAUAUAAUCCAUCCGUGAUGCCAGUUUUUGAACAGAAGCCUGCUAAGUUGAAUUUGGAUAGCGUACAGAAAAAGAGUGGAUGCAGGGGAAGCAGCAGUGGGAGUGAGCCUGCAUUGUAAAAGCCUCGAGUAGAAGCACCAUCGCCUUUGCCAACCUUUAAAGGUUUUUAUGGUUGUAGGUUAGAAAAGAGAAAUUAGGGGACAUAAUCACCACACUCCAACAACUAGUUUCGCCUUUUAGAAAGCUCUUGAGCACUCCAUACUUGAAGAAUGGGCAUCCCGUGCAACAUCAACAGGCUAUCCAUAUGCAAGACUAGGAGAGGGGGUAGCUCAAGUCUUCUUUUUUACAUUGAUUAGAUAUGAAAAUAUGUUUCUUUCUGUAACUUUCACUUUAAUUUGCUUUUGAUAGUUUCAUGUAUUUUUCUUUGGAACAAUUAGGAUAUUAACUCUUGUUAUUAGUAUUGAAUAUUUGAGAAU